This is a long non-coding RNA of Brachypodium distachyon (stiff brome), 688 nucleotides long. RefSeq lists it as uncharacterized. The record is from RefSeq and is a predicted model, not a curated record. The transcript has 2 exons. NCBI's taxonomy places the organism in Eukaryota, Viridiplantae, Streptophyta, Magnoliopsida, Poales, Poaceae.
CGCAGGCCGCAGCCGCGCUCUCCCCCGAAAACCUAGCCAGCGAAUGUCCCGACAAGUAGGGACUAGGGAGCGAUGCGCCGCCGCCGCCUCACCCGAUCUAACUCCCCAGUCCCCGCCACUCCGCCGCCGCCCGAUUCUUCUGCUCUCCUUCUCCCCAAAUCCCCAAUCCCAUCGGCCUCCCUCUCUCUCCCCACCUCUGUGUCGUCCGCCGCCAGCCCCCGCGGGCUGCUCCCCAGUCGCAGUCUCCUACAAUCCAACCAGCUGCAGGCUGCUGAGGCCUCAAGCUUGCGGAUGGCGAUGAGGAGGUCCUUGCAGCCGGCCGCGCGCUCAUGACGCCGAGCGCGUGGUAGAUCACGGACUCCGCCCCUCAGCUGCCCAAGCUCGCUCUCAGCGUUAGGAAGUCACCAAGUACUCCCUCAGAUGAAAAGCAUGGAUGGUACUUGUCUCCAUCUAAGUUGCAGAUGACUUAAGAUGAGCUACUUGUGUCAUGAGAUGGAGCCAUCAAAUUCUGAAGAUGAGAUAAAUCCUUAGUGUGCACAGACUAAAUCUUUUGUACAUUAUUCUUGCAGUAAGCAAUUAUAUUAUAUGGUGAACACACUACAAUUUACGAUAUAUCCCUGUGACAGGUACAUUUGGCAAGAUAUUGCUAAAGUAAAAUGACAUUAUAUUCUAUUAUUUUCGGUACAUC